ACUGCAGAAAAAGUUAUUUCACUUAUGAUAUUUACUUAAUCAGGAUUUUGUAUGCAGAACUUUAAUUUUAAUAGAUCCAGCACUUUUUAAGACUGUAUGGAUGGAUAUAAGAAAUGAGUAGCCUCGUGCAACUAAAAGUGUGCUUUGGCAUAAAUGAAGUUAGACGUACCUUGUCAUUAUAUUACAUAAUACCCUUUGUGUUGUUUGGGUGUGCAUUGUAGGGUUACAUAAACGGGUGUUUGCCUUGCUAGAAAUCUAGGUCAGACAUUGGCUAGAUCAUUAGCAUUAGCCUUUAGCAUGCUGUAAGCCUACAGAUGUAGUCUGUGUGCCUAUUUCACAACAUGUUCAGUUUUUUUUACAAAUAACACUUACUUCACAUAACGAACUACCUUUAGAGUUGAUAGUUCUGAGAAAGUUGCAAAACAGGAGGUCUGGAAACAUGAGAACACGUGCCCCUACCUGCUGGAAAACAAAAGGUAAAGUAAUGAUGCCAUGCCACCUUGUGGUGAAAUAAAAUAGCCCGGAUCCCGGAAGUGAAUAGCCUGUUUGCUACUCUUACCAUUCACCAUUCAUCACUUAGUAAUGGUUAAUGUACGCUGUUUACUAAUAUGGGACCGACGUCAAACGGCACGUUGCUGAGAAAUAGAAAGAAGAGAGUUGAAAACACCCCAAUACGUCAGGUUUGAGCCCAAGUGGGUGCAGUUUUUCACACCAUGUUGGUGACAGCAUAUCUUGCCAUCAUUUUCCUGCUUGCCCUGUGUGUUGUCCUGGAGCUCACAGCACGCCGCCUCACCCCACCUCAGUCUGCUCCUACUGCUGUAGCCAACCCGGCGUUCCGUCGCUUCCAGAGUAUAUUCCUGCGGGCAUACCUUUUGGCUUUGUGGGCAGACUGGCUCCAGGGUCCUUACCUCUACAAACUGUACCGCCACUACAGCUUCCUGGAAUCCCAAAUAGCGAUCUUAUAUGUGUGUGGACUUGCCUCCUGUGUUCUGUUUGCCCCUUUUUCAGGCUGGCUCCCUCAAGUCUUGGGCCGCAGACAGACAUGUCUUCUCUUCUGCGUAUCAUACUCUGCUUGUUGUCUCACCAAGCUGUCCAGAGACUACUUUGUUUUGAUUGUGGGCCGGAUCCUGGGGGGUCUGUCCACAUCCCUGCUCACUACCACAUUUGAAUCCUGGUACGUGCACCGUCAUGUAGAAGUACACGAUUUUCCCAAGGAGUGGAUCCCCAGUACCUUCACCAAAGCUGCUACAUGGAAUCAUGGUCUCGCCGUGGGAGCAGGGCUGGUGGCUAACUUGCUGGCUGAGUGGCUCCACUUGGGGCCGGUGGCUCCCUUUCUCCUGGCUGUCCCCUGCUUGGCGUGCUGUGGCUGGGUGGUGCUAACAGACUGGGGCAAGGAAGAGGCUGAAGAAGGUCUUGAAGGGGAAAAACAGAAACUGCCUCUUGGCACUCCAAAUGCAGGGCUAGCCCGUUUGUCUGCAAGGGCCCGAUUCUCACGCAGCUGCCAUGAUGGGUUGCGCUGCCUGCUCUCAGACAGGAGAGUCAUGCUCUUAGGUGGAGUGCAGGCUCUGUUUGAAAGUGUCCUCUACAUUUUUGUUUUUCUGUGGACCCCAGUUCUGGACCCCCAUGGGCCCCCUUUGGGAAUCGUUUUUUCUUGCCUGAUGGCUGCAAGUAUGGCUGGCUCCUUGCUCUACCGCCUGGCCACCUCCACCCGUUACCGCCUGCAGCCGGGCCACGUUCUCUGCCUGGCUGUGUUGAUGGCCUUCUUCUCUCUCUUUAUGUUGACCUUUUCCACCACCCCUGGUCAACCUAGGCCACGUGAAUCCUUUCUGGCCUUCCUGCUGCUGGAGCUGGCCAGUGGGCUCUACUUCCCUGCAGUCAGCUUUCUCCACGGCAGGGUGAUCCCAGAGGAAAAGAGGCAGAGUGUGCUGGCCUGGUUCCGGCUCCCUCUCCACCUGCUGGCCUGCUUCGGACUGCUGGCUCUUCAUGGGGAGACGGCAGGAACAGGUGGAGGGGAGGAGGGGAGCGGCACCAGACACAUGUUUGGAGGAUGUGCUGUUAUGAUGCUGGCUGCUUUCAUGGCUGUCGUCAGUCUGUUCACUCUGGGUAGAAAUGACACAGAUCUGAGACUGGAGGGAACCAGAGGGGAGGGGGAGAUGGAAAACAUAUUAAAUUAUGAUUGACUGCUUUUAUAUAAAAUGUGCCAGUUUUAUGUGACUAAAAGUAGAGAACUUGUGUGUUUCACUUAAAAAGUCAUAAAAAAAUAUUUUGCCAAAUUGCAGCGGAGGAAAUCAAUGUCUAAAGGGGAUAUUUUGCUAAAUUGAAAUACAUUUUCAUUUUUAGAUGUUGCCUUAUUACUGUUUUUGUUAUUUUUUGGGAGAUCAUUUUACAUAUCCUGUCUGUGUAUGUAUGCUUUGCGAACAUGGCCGUAUCAAUUUUAAUUUGUCAAGUAAACUGUUGGAAUAUCUUAAAACUUCUAUCAUUCCUUAACCAGAUAUCAUGUCAUUGCAUCAUUGUCACCAUCUAUAGGGAACAGACAUGAAAUACUUUACAGAGAGCUCAAUAGAAAUCCAAAGGAAUGUCAUGACUAGCAUGUUAGUUCUUCCAAUAUUUCUGUCUGUGGUUUUUUCCAACAUCUUUUUAUUUUUAUUGAAAAGGAAUCUCAAGUUGAUCCAAGUUUGAAUAUUUCUUCUGCACCAUCAGAAUAUCUUCUCUCUGCAUUACCUUUACAGUUCUCUGCUCUUUACACUCUGAAAUAAAGUUGAUUCUGCAGGCCAUUCUUCCAGAAAUAUCUGGAUUUCACUCAUUACGCACCAUGCAGGCAUCCAUCCUCCCCUUUUUCCCUUCUGCAUUGGUACAGUCCCAGCUUUUCUCUAUGAUGCAGCUUCACCUGGAUGCAGCUAGAACAUCCAUCAGUGGGUGAGGGAGGGGUAACUGCACAAGCCUUAACUGUGUUGUUUUGGUGGAUUACAUCACAAAAUCGUCACAUGGUGUCCAAUCUGAGCAGGCAAGAGGAGCAUUAUUAAUCCACGGUCCUCUCUCACAGCUGUCAGUACUCUGGCCAGACACUGCAAAAAAAACCUUAAAGAAAGGAGACACCAGAGCCCCAUUGACUGGUUGGACUACCG
RNA transcript from Notothenia coriiceps (black rockcod), 3125 nucleotides. It is a transcript of the gene named major facilitator superfamily domain containing 5, with no coding region annotated. NCBI's taxonomy places the organism in Eukaryota, Metazoa, Chordata, Actinopteri, Perciformes, Nototheniidae. The record is from RefSeq and is a predicted model, not a curated record. The transcript is spliced from 3 exons.